AUUGAACGCUGGCGGCAUGCCUUACACAUGCAAGUCGAACGGCAGCACGGGAGCAAUCCUGGUGGCGAGUGGCGAACGGGUGAGUAAUAUGUCGUAACGUGCCCAGUCGUGGGGGAUAACGCAGCCAAAGCUGUGCUAAUACCGCAUACGAUCGAAGGAUGAAAGCGGGGGAUCGCAAGACCUUGCGCGAUUGGAACGGCCGAUAUCAGAUUAGCUAGUUGGUGGGGUAAAGGCCCACCAAGGCGACGAUCUGUAGCUGGUCUGAGAGGACGACCAGCCACACUGGAACUGAGACACGGUCCAGACUCCUACGGGAGGCAGCAGUGGGGAAUUUUGGACAAUGGGCGCAAGCCUGAUCCAGCAAUGCCGCGUGCAGGAUGAAGGCCUUCGGGUUGUAGACUGCUUUUGUACGGAACGAAACGGCCCUUUCUAAUACAGGGGACUAAUGACGGUACCGUAAGAAUAAGCACCGGCUAACUACGUGCCAGCCGCCGCCGUAA
This 500-nucleotide ribosomal RNA is filed under the name uncultured bacterium. RNAcentral describes it as "partial 16S ribosomal RNA". It matches the Rfam family "Bacterial small subunit ribosomal RNA", at positions 30 to 523 of the family's 1533-position model. The record is from RNAcentral.